AAUGCUGACCCUUCUUGUCCUUGUGGUUUCAAUAUGGCUGACCUCUCCCUGGACACUGACCUCUGGUCAAGCAGCCAUGACUCAGCACAAACGUCCGGCCAGGUGGAUGUCGUCUCCCGAGUCAAAGCUGGGACUUGCUAGAGUUAGACAAUGUGGGAGGCAGUCUUCUCAUCCACCCUGCCUGUCAGGGUCAACCGGGGCUGAAAGAUCAAAAUACUCAAUAAAAAUAUUUCCCCACA
Aplysia californica (California sea hare) is the source of this 239-nucleotide long non-coding RNA. RefSeq lists it as uncharacterized. NCBI's taxonomy places the organism in Eukaryota, Metazoa, Mollusca, Gastropoda, Aplysiida, Aplysiidae. The record is from RefSeq and is a predicted model, not a curated record. The transcript is spliced from 2 exons.